This is a long non-coding RNA of Coffea eugenioides, 1552 nucleotides long. RefSeq lists it as uncharacterized. The transcript has 3 exons. The record is from RefSeq and is a predicted model, not a curated record. Lineage: Eukaryota; Viridiplantae; Streptophyta; Magnoliopsida; Gentianales; Rubiaceae.
UGCUCCAAUUUUAAAUGCUUUUCAUGACCUUACUUUCUUGUUUGUGCUCCAAUAAUGGUAGCUUAUUUGUUGGGUUCUCUUAAUUUUUGUGUUGCUGAAACAUCGGUUGUGAGUUCGGACAGGUUAGAAAUAAAUUUGAAAGAAAAAGUUCGGUUUUCUCUAAUGCCCAAAACGUAUUUGUAAAAAUGACAAAGCAAACGAAUUUCCGAAACGUAUUUCCUAAUUGCUCAAGUUGGGAAGGUUUUCUGGAUAUGCAUUUCAAAUUUAUGGAUUACUCUUAGUUGCAAAUUUUAUUUCAGCAUAAUUCGUAGAAUUUUUUGCAUCUCUUUGGUUUCUGCAAAAAAGAAGCAUGAAAGUUGUACUUCGGUUGAAAUACUUCAGAACUCAUACAGAGUCUUUUCCUGUGGAGGAUUAAUGUUUUGGCAAUAAUCGCAGACUGAAGCUUGAAGGAACUAUGGAAAAGAAUGAGGCUUUGUUUUUGUUUCUUCAAUAACUCAUAAUUGAAGCCUAAGUGCUUAAUUUUGUAAAAUGCAUUGUGGCAUACUGGAUCUGAAUUGUCUAGUCAGUCUUUUAGUCUUUGAUCGGAUCUAGUCAUAAUUUGACACGAAUUAUUAUUAUGUAUUGAUUAGUUCAGGCAAAUUGAAAGCCAUACCAUUACUUGAGUAUCGAAGAUGAAGUAUUAAGGCUUGAGGACUAAGGAAGUGCUGUUGUUGUUCCUAAUCCAAAGAAAUACUAUGUGAUUAACUCUUUACUCUCUGUCAAAUUAAUCUCUGAUUUUUCAGCAUGACAGGCAUGGAUCUCACGUCUCAGUGGCGCAUACUCGCUUCAUACGGCCUCUAAUUGAUUAUUUAGUGUCAUUGAAUGUUAUGCAAUUAAGCAAUUACUACCAGUGGACAAGGUUUGAAUUAUUUGUGGCUUUCUUGUGACUGGCAACAAUGAGCCUUGGUUAGAGAAGGCUUUCUCGUCUUUCAGGUGCAUCAUUCACAUAUAAAUGAGUUGAAAAUCAACCAGUGCCAAAGUCUACUGACCAGAUUACUAUAUCUAAUGCAAUUAUUGUUCUUUUGUGUUUAAGGAGGAACUACGAGGUCUUCUUCCAUGUGCUUGUGUGGCAGGGUCAUCUUAGCUGUCUUGCUUCCACCAUGGGCUGGCAGUGAAUACCAAUAACAUCACUUUGGUCCAUCUUAGUCUCUUCAGUUCAUAAAUACAGUGGUAAAGAAAGAAAUUGGCUGCCUGAUAGGAAUCUCAAUCACGGAAGAUUGGAGAAUUACUACUGGCUGAUAACUGGAAUACAAGUAGUAAAUGUGAUUUAUUAUCUAAUAUGUGCUUGGUUUUAUAUCCAUGAACCAUUGGAUUUGGCUGCUGAAAGCAGGGAUGCAAUGGAUUUGGAGUUAGCAAAGGAGAGAAUUUUACCUGUUGAUUCUAGUGUAAAGGCAGAAACAGAACAAGAAAGAAUUGGAACAUGUUAGAAUUGCCCGUAGAUUAGUUGAUGAUGUGCUUGCACCUUUUUAUGACUGCUUCCUGCAGUUCAGUGGAUUGAAAGUUGAAAUAUAUA